RNAcentral lists this small RNA (107 nucleotides) under Marmota monax (woodchuck). The record is from RNAcentral. Lineage: Eukaryota; Metazoa; Chordata; Mammalia; Rodentia; Sciuridae.
UCCAGGUAUGGUGGUGCACACCUGUAAUCCCAACAACUCUAGAGGCUGAGGCAGGAGGAUCACAAGUUUGAGGACAGCCUCAGCCACUUAGAGAGACCCUGUCUCAA